UACGUAGGUGGCGAGCGUUGUCCGGAUUUACUGGGCGUAAAGAGCGCGCAGGCGGUCGUACAAGUCGCGUGUGAAAGCCCCCGGCUCAACUGGGGAGGGUCACGCGAUACUGUUCGACUCGAAGGCAGGAGAGGGAAGCGGAAUUCCCGGUGUAGUGGUGAAAUGCGUAGAUAUCGGGAGGAACACCAGUGGCGAAGGCGGCUUCCUGGCCUGUUCUUGACGCUGAGGCGCGAAAGCUAGGGUAGCAGACGGG
Molecule: ribosomal RNA, 253 nt
Filed under: uncultured bacterium
Lineage: Bacteria
Description: partial 16S ribosomal RNA
Rfam family: Bacterial small subunit ribosomal RNA
Source: RNAcentral